This 438-nucleotide RNase P RNA is filed under the name Actinomycetota bacterium. RNAcentral describes it as "RNase P RNA component class A". It matches the Rfam family "Bacterial RNase P class A". Rfam says of the family: Ribonuclease P (RNase P) is a ubiquitous endoribonuclease, found in archaea, bacteria and eukarya as well as chloroplasts and mitochondria. Its best characterised activity is the generation of mature 5'-ends of tRNAs by cleaving the 5'-leader elements of precursor-tRNAs. Cellular RNase Ps are ribonucleoproteins. Lineage: Bacteria; Bacillati; Actinomycetota. The record is from RNAcentral.
GAUGCAGGCCGAGCGGCCGCCCCGUCAUUUGUUUUUUGGCUCCCUUUUUAGGUGGAGGCUAGAUUUAUCAGAGUGGAUGACGGGGAGGAAAGUCCGGACACCAAAGAGCAGGGUGCUGGGUAACGCCCAGUCGGGGAAACCCGCAGGCAAGUGCCACAGAAAGCAAACCGCCUGCUCGGCGGCGCGGGGCAGGUCCCGGGAUUCCCGGGACCGGGUUCCGCGGCGCUGGCGGGUAAGGGUGAAAGGGUGCGGUAAGAGCGCACCGGAGGCGUGGUGACACGUCUGCCAGGUAAACCCCACCCGGUGCAAGGCCAAAUAGGAGGGCGCAAUCGGGUUGCUCGCCCGGCCCUCGGGUAGGCUGCUUGAGGGGCGCGGCAACGCGCUCCCUAGAUGGAUGGUCGCAUAAAACAGAAUCCGGCUUACGGGCCUGCCGCCCUU